UGAUAGUCUCUUUUAAUCAGGAAGCAU
This 27-nucleotide non-coding RNA is filed under the name Rattus norvegicus (Norway rat). Lineage: Eukaryota; Metazoa; Chordata; Mammalia; Rodentia; Muridae. The record is from RNAcentral.